Molecule: ribosomal RNA, 484 nt
Filed under: uncultured bacterium
Lineage: Bacteria
Description: partial 16S ribosomal RNA
Rfam family: Bacterial small subunit ribosomal RNA
Source: RNAcentral
AUUGAACGCUGGCGGAAUGCUUUACACAUGCAAGUCGAGCGGCAGCGCGGCCUUCGGGCUGGCGGCGAGCGGCGAACGGGUGAGUAAUGCAUCGGAACAUGCCCAGUCGUGGGGGAUAACACUUCGAAAGAAGUGCUAAUACCGCAUACGUCCUGAGGGGGAAAGCGGGGGAUCGCAAGACCUCGCGCGAUUGGAGUGGCAGAUGUCAGAUUAGCUAGUUGGUGGGGUAAAGGCCUACCAAGGCGACGAUCUGUAGCUGGUCUGAGAGGAUGAUCAGCCACACUGGGAGUGAGACAGGGCCCAGACUCCUACGGGAGGCAGCAGUGGGGAAUUUUGGACAACGGGGGCAAACCUGAUCCAGCCAUUCCGCGUGAGUGAAGAAGGCCUUCGGGUUGUAAAGCUCUUUCGGCAGGAACGAAACGGUGGGCUCUAACAUAGUCCGCUAAUGACGGUACCUGAAGAAGAAGCACCGGCUAACUACGUG